RNAcentral lists this ribosomal RNA (274 nucleotides) under uncultured bacterium. RNAcentral's name for it is "partial 16S ribosomal RNA". It matches the Rfam family "Bacterial small subunit ribosomal RNA", at positions 523 to 796 of the family's 1533-position model. The record is from RNAcentral.
AUACGGAGGGUGCAAGCGUUGUUCGGAAUCACUGGGCGUAAAGGGCGCGCAGGCGGUUUGGUAAGUCAGAUGUGAAAGCCCAUGGCUCAACCAUGGAAGUGCAUUUGAAACUGUCAGACUUGAGUACUAGAGGGGAAAGUGGAAUUCCCGGUGUAGAGGUGAAAUUCGUAGAUAUCGGGAGGAAUACCGGUGGCGAAGGCGACUUUCUGGCCAGAUACUGACGCUGAGGCGCGAAAGCGUGGGGAGCAAACAGGAUUAGAUACCCUAGUAGUCC